AUGACUUAUUAUAAGUAUGAAGGUUCAGGAAGCGACACUGUUGUUAUCAGGGGCCCUUCCUCGGAUGUGGAGAAGGCCAAGAAGCAGCUCUUGCAUCUGGCGGAAGAGAAGCAAACCAAGAGUUUCACUGUUGACAUCCGCGCCAAGCCAGAAUACCACAGAUUCCUCAUCGGCAAGGGGGGCGGCAAAAUUCGCAAGGUGCGUGACAGCACGGGAGCGCGCAUCAUCUUCCCUGCGGCCGAGGACAAGGACCAGGACCUGAUCACCAUCAUCGGAAAGGAGGACGCCGUCCGGGAAGCGCAGAAGGAACUGGAGGCCUUGAUCCAAAACCUGGAUAAUGUGGUGGAAGACUGCCUGCUGGUGGACCCCAGGCACCACCGCCACUUCGUCAUCCGAAGGGGCCAGGUCUUGCGGGAGAUCGCUGAAGAGUAUGGCGGCGUGACGGUCAGCUUCCCACGCUCCGGCACACAGAGGGACAAAGUCACCCUCAAGGGCGCCAAGAAGCGCAUUCAGGAGAUCAUUGAGGACCUGGAAGCUCAGGUGACAUUAGAAUGUGCUAUACCCCAGAAAUUCCAUCGAUCUGUCAUGGGCCCCAGAGGUUCCAGAAUCCAGCAGAUUACUCGGGAUUUCAAUGUUCAGAUUAAAUUCCCAGACAGAGAGGAGAACCCAGUUCACAGUAUAGAGCCAGUUGUCCAGGAGAACGGGGACGAAGCUGGGGAGGGGAGAGAGGCCAAAGACGCUGAUCCUGGCUCUCCAAGGAGGUGUGACAUCAUCAUCAUCAUCUCCGGCCGGAAGGAAAAGUGCGAGGCUGCCAAGGAAGCCCUGCAGGCACUGGUUCCUGUCACCAUGGAAGUAGAGGUGCCCUUUGACCUUCACCGUUACAUCAUUGGGCAGAAAGGAAGUGGGAUCCGCAAGGUGAUGGAUGAGUUUGAGGUGAACAUACACGUCCCAGCCCCCGAGCUGCAGUCUGACAUCAUCGCCAUCACGGGCCUCGCCGCAAAUUUGGACCGGGCCAAGGCUGGACUGCUGGAGCGUGUGAAGGAGCUGCAGACCGAGCAGGAGGACCGGGCUUUAAGGAGUUUUAAGCUGAGUGUCACUGUAGACCCCAUAUACCAUCCCAAGAUUAUCGGGGGCAGUGAUCACCCAAAUCCGGCUGGAGCACGACGUGAACAUCCAGUUCCCUGAUAAGGACGACAGGAGCCAGCCUCAGGACCAAAUUACCAUCACAGGGUACGAAAACAACAUAGAAGCUGCCAGGGACGCUAUAUUGAGAAUUGUGGGUGAACUUGAGCAGAUAGUUUCUGAGGACGUCCCGCUGGACCACCGUGUUCACGCCCCUAUCAUCGGGGCCCGCGGCAAAGCCAUUCGAAAAAUUAUGGACGAAUUCAAGGUGGACAUUCGCUUUCCACAGACCGGAGCCCCAGACCCCAACUUCGUCACUGUGACAGGGCUCCCAGAGAACGUGGAGGAAGCCAUUGACCACAUCCUCAACCUGGAGGAGGAAUACCUGGCCAACGUGGUGGACAGCGAGGCGCUGCAGGUGUACGUGAAACCCACGCAACAGGAGGAGGCCAGGGCGCGGUCCAGAGGCUUUGUGGUGCGGGACGCGCCCUAGACUGCCAGCAGCAGUGAGAAGCCUCCUGACAUGAGCAGCUCUGAGGAAUUUCCCAGCUUUGGGGCUCAGGUGGCCCCCCAAGACCCUCCCGUGGGGCCCCAAACGAUAAUGAUCAAAAAGCAGAAACCUCUCCAGCCUGCUGA
Molecule: non-coding RNA, 1758 nt
Organism: Saimiri boliviensis boliviensis (Bolivian squirrel monkey)
Lineage: Eukaryota; Metazoa; Chordata; Mammalia; Primates; Cebidae
Source: RefSeq, a predicted model, not a curated record